RNAcentral lists this unclassified non-coding RNA (314 nucleotides) under uncultured fungus. RNAcentral describes it as "partial contains 5.8S ribosomal RNA and internal transcribed spacer 2". The stretch from base 1 to 133 matches the Rfam family "5.8S ribosomal RNA", at positions 22 to 154 of the family's 154-position model. The record is from RNAcentral. Lineage: Eukaryota; Fungi.
UGGUUCUGGCAUCGAUGAAGAACGCAGCGAAAUGCGAUAAGUAAUGUGAAUUGCAGAAUUCAGUGAAUCAUCGAAUCUUUGAACGCACAUUGCGCCCGGUGGUAUUCCGCCGGGCAUGCCUGUUCGAGCGUCAUUAUAACCAAUCACGCCUGGCGUGGUGUUGGGGCACACGGUUCCGUGGCCCUCAAAAUCAGUGGCGGCGCCGGUAGGCUCUAAGCGUAGUAACUUCUCUCGCUAUAGGGUCCUCCUGGUCGCUCGCCAGAACCCCCCAUUUUUUUAAGGUUGACCUCGGAUCAGGUAGGGAUACCCGCUGA